UACGGGGGGAGCAAGGCGUUAAUCGGAAUUACUGGGCGUAAAGGGUGCGCAGGCGGCCGAGUGUGUGAGGCGUGAAAGCCCGGGGCUUAACCCCGGAAUUGGCACCUCAAACUACAACGGCUAGAGCAUUGGAGAGGGUAGCAGAAUUCGAUGGUGUAGCAGUGAAAUGGCGUAGAUAUCAUGAGGAAUACCAGAGGCGAAGGCGGCGUACCUGG
RNAcentral lists this ribosomal RNA (215 nucleotides) under uncultured bacterium. RNAcentral's name for it is "partial 16S ribosomal RNA". It matches the Rfam family "Bacterial small subunit ribosomal RNA", at positions 524 to 732 of the family's 1533-position model. The record is from RNAcentral.